Molecule: ribosomal RNA, 108 nt
Organism: Cebus imitator (Panamanian white-faced capuchin)
Lineage: Eukaryota; Metazoa; Chordata; Mammalia; Primates; Cebidae
Source: Ensembl
GUCUCUCUGCAUACCACCCUGAACACCUGAUCUCGUCAGAUCUCAGAAGCUAAGCAGGGUCGGACCUAGUCAGUACUCAGGUGAAAGAGAGCACAUGGCACAAGGGCU